CCCGUCAACUGCUGGAACAAGAAGACGCCGAGCGCCGCGAGCAGUAUUCGCCGCAUGGAAGGGGUCGGCGACAGGAUGAGCUCUCUCCACACCUGCUUCUCCUCGCCGCCUCUCUUCCUGGGCACGACGACCACGUCGCCAUCGAGGUCCUCUGGGAUGCCGGCGGCGGUCUUGAUGUCAGCGAGGCGCUCCUCGGCCUCCUCCGGCGUGUCGGUGAUCUUCUCCAGCACGACCCUCGCGUCCGCGAGGCGGCCUUUCAUGACGAGCCACCGGGGAGACUCCGGCAUGCCGGACACCAAGAGGGCGAGCAGGACGGACGGCACCGCGCCGAUGCCGAGCAUGAAGCGCCAGCCGAGGUGGAGCGGCAGGCGAGCGAAGGCGUAG
This 384-nucleotide ribosomal RNA is filed under the name Triticum aestivum (bread wheat). Its description in RNAcentral is "partial small subunit ribosomal RNA". The record is from RNAcentral. Lineage: Eukaryota; Viridiplantae; Streptophyta; Magnoliopsida; Poales; Poaceae.